UUGGACAAUGGGCGAAAGCCUGAUCCAUCCAUGCCGCGUGAGUGAAGAAGGCCUUCGGGUUGUAAAGCUCUUUUAGUCGGAAAGAAAGAGUUGCAAUGAAUAAUUGUGAUUUAUGACGGUACCGACAGAAAAAGCCCCGGCUAACUACGUGCCAGCAGCCGCGGUAAUACGUAGGGGGCAAGCGUUGUCCGGAUUAACUGGGGGUAAAGGGCGCGCAGGCGGAAUGGAAAGUCAGUGGUGAAAUCCUACAGCUUAACUGUAGAACUGCCUUUGAUACGUUCAUUCUUGAGAUCGGGAGAGAGAGACGGAAUUCCAGGUGUAGUGGUGAAAUACGUAGAUAUCUGGAAGAACACCAGGUGCGAAGGCGGUCUCUUGGUCCGAUACUGACGCUGAGGCGCGAAAGCGUG
Molecule: ribosomal RNA, 407 nt
Filed under: uncultured bacterium
Lineage: Bacteria
Description: bacterial SSU rRNA
Rfam family: Bacterial small subunit ribosomal RNA
Source: RNAcentral